Molecule: long non-coding RNA, 1535 nt
Filed under: Anas platyrhynchos platyrhynchos (common mallard)
Lineage: Eukaryota; Metazoa; Chordata; Aves; Anseriformes; Anatidae
Description: lncRNA (ENSAPLG00000029513.1)
Source: RNAcentral
CACUCAGUGAAGGGAUAACUUUCCAGCUGGCUGAUCAGGAAAAGGACUACGCUUCUCAAGUAACAAAGACUUCAAAACAUGCUCAUUUCAAAAGAUCAACUAACCUCCACGCUUGUUUGGAAAGAAAGAACAGAGGCAGCACAAUCCAGAAGUUUCAGAGCCAUGAACCAUGAGACGAGGGAGAUGUUUUCUUGUACCCCACAAGAAAACUGUCCUCUCACAAGAAGAUUGUUUGCUCUGUCCUGGAGUGAAGCAAUAACUAAGGUGCAUUUCUGAUGUCUGUACUGCAUAGUGGCUAACUUGAACAGCUCUUAACCCAAAGAAUUGGCUGAGGUUAAUUGGAGCUGGCAUUCAUUUUCAGCAAACAGGAACUUUGAAUACACAUGAAAUUAAAGUGAAGCUUUGGGAAAAGUAACACCACAAGAAAAUGGCAAUUAAAUUCAGAAAAUAAUUAUGGGCAAUUCAUAGAAUCAUAGAAUGGCUCGGGUUGGAAGGGACCUCAUCUACUUCCGCCCCCCUUGCCACAGACAGGGAAUUUAAAAAGAUGGGCAAUGUAAAAAUCACAGAUUUUUUUUAUAUGUUGCCUUAUUUUAAAUUAACAAUUUCAUGUAAGCCUUUUUGAUAUAUUUCCUACAAUUUUCAUUUUGAUUUUAAAGUAGCUUAACUUUUGGUGGAAAAAAACAGUCAUGAAGUAUAUUUAAGUAAAUUAAAACAGUUUAUGUGUUUCAUGUAGUUUCAAAGUGAAACACUGUUAUUUGGGUGGACUGGAGAACUUGUUGAAAUCCCCCAUAGUUUCAGCAGUAACCUAAUCGAUUUCUCAGUAACCUAAUCAAUUUCCCAAUUAACUAAACUAGAAACUCCAUUCCACACCCAGAUUUAUGGUUAGUCCAAAUCUGAGGUAUUUAACUCUUCCUACACAGUCUAGUGAACCUUUGCAACUAAUGGUUUACCACAGAUGUGAACUUCUCUGUCUGUGCUUAUCACCACUGUAAUUUAGAAUAGAUUUUAUGAGCUCAGUUCAACUUUGGGGAAAGUUUAGCAGUAUACUUUAAUCACUGGGUUUGGGAUAAGGGGAUGGAUUUUAACAAGGCAUAAGAUUUAUGCAGGGAUAAAUAUAGACUCUCAGGAAGAAAAUAUGGAAGUAUGAGAGGCUAUUAAACUUGUGAUGAAAGAUCUAGGAGCAAGAGACAUAGUAAGUGAUUCAUCCUACAGCUGAGGAGCAUAUUUUUUAGUCUGGCACUGAUUAUCUCUGUAUCUCUAGGGAUGCAGAGCUUGUACCAAAAAAAAAAAAAAAAAAAAAAAAAAAAAAAAAAAGCGAAGACUUUUUCACUUCAAAAAGGUAUUCUUCCAUAAUACUUGAAAACCAUCUACAAAAUAUUUGCAUAUAUUUUAAUUCUUGGAGACAAUUUUAAUGCCUUAGAGCCCAUAAACAUUCUAGAAAGCAAAUCAGGAAAUAGAAAUUCAUGUUAAAGAACUGCCUGUCAAAAGAAUGCCAGGAAAAUAAAGUAAAUUGGAAUACAAGUAUUUUAUUUUAU